Molecule: transfer RNA, 82 nt
Filed under: Hofstenia miamia
Lineage: Eukaryota; Metazoa; Xenacoelomorpha; Acoela; Hofsteniidae
Description: tRNA-Leu for anticodon AAG
Rfam family: tRNA
About the family: Transfer RNA (tRNA) molecules are approximately 80 nucleotides in length. Their secondary structure includes four short double-helical elements and three loops (D, anti-codon, and T loops).
Source: RNAcentral
GGCAGAGUGGCCGAGCGGUCUAAGGCGCUAGUUUAAGGCACUAGUAUCUUCGGAUGCGUGGGUUCGAAUCCCACCUCUGUCA